Bacteroides sp. CAG:443 is the source of this 200-nucleotide non-coding RNA. NCBI's taxonomy places the organism in Bacteria, Pseudomonadati, Bacteroidota, Bacteroidia, Bacteroidales, Bacteroidaceae. The record is from Rfam.
ACUAUCUUUGCCACCGAUUGGUUCCGGAAGGUUGGUUCGACCCGACGGAUUAAAAGGGAAUCGGGUGAAAGUCCCGAACAGUCCCGCUGCUGUGAAGCUCAUCAAGCACGUUGACAAUUACUCAUUGCCACUGGAUAAAACCGGGAAGGUGUCAAAGCGUGUGAGUCAGUCAGAAGACCUGCCAUCGUUUUUAUUAAUUA